Branchiostoma floridae (Florida lancelet) is the source of this 1231-nucleotide long non-coding RNA. RefSeq lists it as uncharacterized. Lineage: Eukaryota; Metazoa; Chordata; Leptocardii; Amphioxiformes; Branchiostomatidae. The record is from RefSeq and is a predicted model, not a curated record. The transcript is spliced from 3 exons.
AGUUAUCGAUCCAGUUUGAAACACAUACUGUCCAGAAAGCACGACUGAGAAGCAAGGAAUGAUUGCCUCCACCUGGCCACCGAUCCUUAACUUCUCCGGCCAGGUAAGGUAACUCAACUCAGCGCCCGCCUGCUCCUACCGUCGUCAUGCCGCUGGACGAUCGCCCAAACAGUGGACGCUGACAGAAACGAGGUCGGGGCUGUAGGAUGAUGUCAGGAGCAGGAUUAUCAUGAAGAAGGGACGACGAGGAGCGGAUAUGAGAUGAAGCGAUAGGUCGGGCUAGAGCGAUCCACACAGCUCCUACCACCGCAAGGGAUGUUGCUGAUGCCUAGCACUGGACGACGAGCUGUAUCACUGAAGGGAACGACGUCCGUGUGCAAAUUGCAACGAUGGGACCGAAGGUGGGGGCCGUGCAAAACCCGGAACAACGUCGCCCUACAGAACAAGGCCAUGAGAAGGAAGUGCCAGACCGGAGCAGAGCCGCGUACAGCCAAGCGAUUGCACUGCUACAACUAUCGAAAAAAUGACACCAGUUAGAGAAUUCAUGGACUGACGUUCACGUGUUGUCUGCGUUAUUUGACUUAUACGAAUAUGUAUUGUCUAUUCUAUCAUGUGUAUCAAAGAAUAUACAUUCAAGUAGUGUAAUUGACUCAGACGAAGACGGGCAAAAUCAAACUAAGGGUGGAUUUUCGAAUGAAAACGAUACAAACGUACGUAAGGUCUCAUUGAUGAGUUUUUAACUGCAUUGGAAAUAAUGCAGAGAUACGUGUUUUACAUGGUGGCGUACAUAAUGCACAUACUUGAAAUAUAUUUAUACCAUUCUUUCUUUGUUGCACUUAUUUACCAUUUAUCAUGUAAACAAAUUCACGACAAUUGCAAUAGCUAAUCAUUCAGUCUUUUUUAUGACCGAAUAUGCAGUUAGCACGCACCGGAGCGGGCACUUUUUAGCUACGACCGUACAACUCAGAAGACAGAACCCAGAACUGUGUGCCUCCGACCCAGACAGCCAUCGAACAUUGCCUGUUAACUUCUUUAGGUAGAAAGAAACUUUCACCAAUAUCACUGCUAAAAAUACACCUCAGUGCAGCCGUUUACGUUUUUGGGCCGGAAUUCGGAAUAAUACAUCAACGGAACCUUAGAGUUAUUGUGUAUGCAAUCUGAAUUGAAAAAAAGCUUUUCAGUCCGUCACUUGCAACAAGAUACAGCGCAACGGUUGCCGUAUGUACUAGUU